This 5491-nucleotide long non-coding RNA is filed under the name Citrus sinensis (sweet orange). Its description in RNAcentral is "long non-coding RNA (CSIN_LNC000629)". Lineage: Eukaryota; Viridiplantae; Streptophyta; Magnoliopsida; Sapindales; Rutaceae. The record is from RNAcentral.
AAAGAAACGUGGGUUAAGUGGACUCUAUCAUCUUAGAAAAAAUGAAGAAACCAGAAAAAAUGAAGAAACCAGAAAAAACUGCUGCUGCUUCUUAUCAUCAACAUCUUUCAUUAUUACUUUUAUUUCUCUAUUGCAUUUUUGUAGCUGCAGAGAAAGAUUCAGUUGGGUAUGGCUACUCUGUUCGAUCAGUCGCUGUUGACUCCUCACUGAAGUCGUUGACUGCUGGACUUGGCCUCAUCAGGUCCUCCUCUGUUUACGGACCUGAUAUUCAGAGCCUCAAUCUUUUUGCCAGGUUUUAAAAUUUACAACUUAAUUGUUCCUUGCUUUUAUGUAUUGUUCACUGACUGUUGGACUAAGCAGUCAGCGAGAAAGACUUGUUUCAAGUUCUAAAUUCGAUAAGCUAGUGAUUUUUGAUGAUUUUUGGUUUGUGACUCUAAGAUUGAUUGAUCUGAUUAUGCUCUGUUUCCCUUCAGCUUUGAGACAAAAGACCGUUUGAGAGUUCGAAUAACAGAUUCCAAAAAACAAAGAUGGGAAAUCCCGCAGGAAAUCAUCCCCCGCCAAUCCUAUUGCACUCACUGCUGGCUGCCGGAAAACAGACUAAACUCACCGGUAAACCACCAAACAGGGCCGGGAAACCACUUCCUCUCCGACCCCACCUCAGACUUAGUCUUCACCCUCCACACCACCCCAUUUGGCUUCUCGGUCAAACGGCGAUCCUCCGGCGACAUUCUUUUCGACACAUCACCUGAAACCUCACACUCUGACACUUUCUUGGUGUUUAAGGAUCAAUACAUUCAACUCUCUUCAGCAUUACCAAUAGAAAGGUCUCAUCUGUAUGGAAUUGGAGAGCACACAAAGAAAUCAUUCAAGUUGACUCCCAAUGACACUCUAACUUUGUGGAAUGCUGACUUGGCCUCAGCAAAUGUUGAUGUUAAUCUCUAUGGCUCUCAUCCUUUUUAUAUUGAUGUGAGGUCGCCCAAUGGGACAACACAUGGUGUUCUGCUUCUUAACAGCAAUGGCAUGGAUGUCGUUUAUACUGGUGACAGGAUUAGUUACAAGGUUACUGGAGGGAUUAUUGAUUUGUAUUUUUUUGCCGGACCUUCGCCGGAUUCAGUCAUACAACAAUAUACAGAGUUAAUUGGUCGGCCUGCCCCUAUGCCAUAUUGGUCCUUUGGUAUCUUUUCUGUGAAUACCUGCUUACUUUGUUUUGAUAAGUUACGCUAAUACUUAUACACAAUUUAAUCAUUCUCUAUGUUGCAAUACGAUGGAUUGGAGUAAAUUAUUCGAAAAUUUCUUCAUUUUUGCCAUACAUUUGUUUGAGAUUAUACUAUACGGGUUGUACUUGUUGGCCACUUACCAUCAUGAGUUAUACAUUGUAGAGUAAGUUUGAGAAAAAGAAAAUAUAAAGUAUCCUUUCUUAUUUUACUUAGGCCUGUCUGUCAUUGUGGUUGGGUAACUAUAGGUUAAAAGUUACGGCACUAAAAUAUUUAGUACAUAUUAACUGUUGUGGCUUAGAAGUUAAGCUGAUUUAAUAUGCCGCUUGUAUAAUGAAAAACCUAAAAUAUCUUUAUUAUUUUUGUCAAAAUGAUUAUUUACUACGUACUAUUAAUUUUUAUUUCAUAAUCACAAUUAUUAUAACUUAAAAACUAUGGCACCUCACUACCAAACUAAGGCCUUAGUUACCUUAUUAACAAAUCAAAUAUAGAGUCACCACAAUUUGAUUUACUAGCUUUGAUAAGUUAUUCAUUCUGAAGUAUUCUUCUAUCUGCCUUGAGAUAAAUUUAUUUUCUUGGUGUAUAACUCUUCUAAGCUAGGUUUCCAGUUAACCAAAGGUGACGGCAUGACCAAUUAUUUCGUUCUUCCCAAUUUGAUUUUCACGUUGUCUUAAUGCACAGGAUUUCAUCAGUGUCGAUAUGGUUACGAAAACGUGUCCGAUCUUAAAGCUGUGGUUGCUGGCUAUGCAAAAGCUGGCAUCCCUCUUGAAGUUAUGUGGACAGAUAUUGAUUACAUGGAUGGAUAUAAGGAUUUCACUCUGGAUCCCAUCAACUUUCCAGUGAACUCAAUGCAAAAUUUUGUAAAUACACUCCAUCAAAAUGGACAGAGAUAUGUGCUCAUCUUGGAUCCUGGUAUGUAGUUAUAGAAAAUGAAUUAUCUUACUGCAGAAACAUUUUUUCAGUUUAUUUAUCGUGUCGAUCAAUAAGCCGGAUUAGAGCUCAUUUGUCACAAUAUCCUUUAUAUUUUCCCUUAAAAUAAUUCACUGAACACUAAAGUUUGUCGUAAUAUCUUACAAUGAGUAAGUAAUAUGUAUCACAGUAUACACUAAACGAUAUAAAGUUAUAAACUAUGAUUUGUGGUGAAAUGAUCUAUUCUUAUGUACGAAUUAUACGAAACAUUUUGAUAUAAUCGUCCAAAUUAUAGUAAAAAAAGAAACGCUAGCUUUUGAGGUAACCUAAGAAGUGUCUUGCCGGUUAACUUUCACUACCUAUUUUUCACCUAAUCUUUAGCUCCCUUUUCCUCUCCGACACAUACCCUCAAAUAUAUAGGGGGGUGGGGGAACAUUUUGUUUGUUAUUUUUUAUUUAAACUGGUAGGUUUUUAACCUAAAAUGUUAUAAAUUUUUGGUUUGAGUAAUUAUUUCAUUACUAUGGUACCAAAACAUCCCUAAUAUAUGUGUGUAUAUUUGCUAAUUACUAUGAAAGCUCUAGACAUAAAAUAAAAUAUAAAAAAAGAAAAGAAAAGAAAACUUGAAAAGGCCAGAACAUACAUUAUCCAUCAUAAAUCUUGCCCAAGCCUAAUACAAACUUUGUUUUAAGAAAUCAAUUUACAUUUUAGCAUAGAAAUCAUUAAUUUACAUCUUUAAUUUCUGCUGAAAAAUCAUGAAUAUCUUUCAUUAACCUUUAUUUUCAUUUCAAAGUUUGAAAUUUUUUUUUUUUAAUAAAGGCAUUAGAUAAAAUUAUAAAUAUUUUUAAAUAAAUUCAUCGACACCUCUUUUUCUUAUCUUAAGGUGGAGCGUUAUUUAAAUCUCUCCAACAUGUAAUUGUGAAAAAUGAGCUUCUACAAUUUUAUAUAUUGCGUUUCUCUUUAUAUAUUUAUAUAUUUAUAUAUUUAUAUAUUUAUAUUUAUAUUUAUAUUUAUAUGGACUUUUGCAUUAAAUUUUAGUUGUGAUUUAUACUUACCCUCAUAGUUAUAUUGUACACAAUAUAUAAAAAGAAAAAAGGAAAUUUAAAUUUUGACAAAGUGCCAUUUUGUUAUAUAAAUUUUACUAGAUAAUAAGAGAAAGUACAUAUGCUUAAUUUUUUUUUUAAAAUUUCGGAAAUACAUAUACUUUGCAUUCGGGUUUUGUGCAAACUAUAUAUGUGAUAAAAAAAUUUGGUCAUCAACAUCAGAUAACAUUAGAACAUCACUCUUUGCAGAUAAUAAUCAUAAAAUUAAUUUAUCAUUAUUAAAUUAAUAAUAAUAUUAAUUUUAUUAUUUUAGUUAUUAUUAAUUAUUUGUAUUAUUAUUUUUAUUAAUAUUAUCAUUAUUAUCAUUUAUUAUUAUUAAUUUUAUUUUUUUAAUUAAAAUUAUUUUUAUAAUAAUAUUUACACAUGUAUCUAGUUAAUGAAAAUUACAUUAUUUAAUACUAUGAGUAUUUUGGUAAAUUGACUCUCAUUCUCAUUCCUCAUUCCCAUUUAUUUUGCUAAGUAAACACAUUAAAGACAUUCCUGCACAUUCUCAUUCUCAUUUAUUUUUUGUAAGUAAAUAUUGGAAUCUCAUUCUUAUUCCAACUCAUUCUAUAUAGUAAACGCAUCAUAAAAAUGAAGAUUUCAUAACUAUUUUUAGGGGUGUUCACGAAUUGAAUUUUACGGAUUGGAUAUCAAUCCAUAUCGAAUCCACGAUUUUGCGGAUUAUAAAUUUUUAAUCAAAUCCAAUCCAUGGAUUAGUGAAAUUCAAUCCAAAUGUCUGUAGAUCAGAUGCAGAUUUAACCUAAUCUACCAUUUUAUAGAUUGGUUUGCAAGCUAAAACUUUUUAAUCAUAUCCUAUCCACGAACUAACUAAAUAAAAAAAUUAAUAUAAAAAUAAUUUUACUAUCAAUCAAAUUUAAAAUUAAAUAAGAUUUAAAUAAAUUAGUUGUUUAAAUAAAAUUAAAAAAUACAUUCAAAGUUUUAAAAUAUAACACACCAAAAAGAAAAAAAUUUCAAAGUUUUGUUUAGAUCAGUACAUGAAAAUUAACUGCCUGGAAGCUAUAUUUUUUAUUUAAUUAUUGUUAUUUUAUAUUAUUAUCGGAUAAGACAUAAUAUGAUGUUAAUUUAACUAUAUUUUAACUUAUUUAUUUAUUAAUAAGUAUAAUAUCAUAUUUAUAAGUUUAAUUUUUCUAUUAAAUAAAUAUUUUUUAUAUUUUUUUACUGAUUCCCAAAUUUUUACGGAUUCACAAAAGUAAAUCUAUAUUUAAUCCACCGACUGCGGAUUUUUAAAUUUUCAAUUCAAUCUAAUCCAUCAAUCCACGAAUUAAAUUUGUACAGAUCGAAUUUAUACGGAUUAGACUGAUUGAGCGGAUCCGAUUAAAUUCUAAACACUCCUGACUAUUUUAGUCAACUUUGCUUCGUCACUGUUUGGCUGUCUGGGUAACUGAUAAGGGUCCUUCUAUCUUACAUGCAUGUAAGAUAUAUUCCUCUCACAUGAAUAGUGUGUGGGUCCCACACAUAUACUAUUCAUGUGAGGGGGAUGUAUCUUACAUGCAUGUAAGAUAGGGUUUGCCAACUGAUAAUAGAUAAAAGUCAAAAUAAGAGACAAGAGUUAUAAUUGGCCAUUUCAAGCUCAAAGUGUAAACGUGCCCAGUGCCAAUUCGAAGUUUGAAAAGAAACGUGGGUUAAGUGGACUCUAUCAUCUUAGAAAAAAUGAAGAAACCAGAAAAAAUGAAGAAACCAGAAAAAACUGCUGCUGCUUCUUAUCAUCAACAUCUUUCAUUAUUACUUUUAUUUCUCUAUUGCAUUUUUGUAGCUGCAGAGAAAGAUUCAGUUGGGUAUGGCUACUCUGUUCGAUCAGUCGCUGUUGACUCCUCACUGAAGUCGUUGACUGCUGGACUUGGCCUCAUCAGGUCCUCCUCUGUUUACGGACCUGAUAUUCAGAGCCUCAAUCUUUUUGCCAGGUUUUAAAAUUUACAACUUAAUUGUUCCUUGCUUUUAUGUAUUGUUCACUGACUGUUGGACUAAGCAGUCAGCGAGAAAGACUUGUUUCAAGUUCUAAAUUCGAUAAGCUAGUGAUUUUUGAUGAUUUUUGGUUUGUGACUCUAAGAUUGAUUGAUCUGAUUAUGCUCUGUUUCCCUUCAGCUUUGAGACAAAAGACCGUUUGAGAGUUCGAAUAACAGAUUCCAAAAAACAAAGAUGGGAAAUCCCGCAGGAAAUCAUCCCCCGCCAAUCCUAUUGCACUCACUGCUGGCUGCCGGAAAACAGACUAAACUCACCGGUAAACCACCAAACAGGGCCGGGAAACCACUUCCUCUCCGACCCCAC